This 301-nucleotide ribosomal RNA is filed under the name uncultured bacterium. RNAcentral's name for it is "partial 16S ribosomal RNA". It matches the Rfam family "Bacterial small subunit ribosomal RNA", at positions 509 to 809 of the family's 1533-position model. The record is from RNAcentral.
CAGCAGCCGCGGGAAUACGUAGGGUGCAAGCGUUAAUCGGAAUUACUGGGCGUAAAGCGUGCGCAGGCGGUUAUAUAAGACAGAUGUGAAAUCCCCGGGCUCAACCUGGGAACUGCAUUUGUGACUGUAUAGCUAGAGUACGGCAGAGGGGGAUGGAAUUCCGCGUGUAGCAGUGAAAUGCGUAGAUAUGCGGAGGAACACCGAUGGCGAAGGCAAUCCCCUGGGCCUGUACUGACGCUCAUGCACGAAAGCGUGGGGAGCAAACAGGAUUAGAUACCCCUGUAGUCCCUGUCUCUUAUAU